This 492-nucleotide ribosomal RNA is filed under the name uncultured bacterium. RNAcentral describes it as "partial 16S ribosomal RNA". It matches the Rfam family "Bacterial small subunit ribosomal RNA", at positions 29 to 507 of the family's 1533-position model. The record is from RNAcentral.
AGUGGACGCUGGCGGUAGGCCUAACACAUGCCAGUCGAACGGCAGCACAGUAAGAGCUUGCUCUUACGGGUGGCGAGUGGCGGACGGGUGAGGAAUACAUCGGAAUCUACUUUUUCGUGGGGGAUAACGUAGGGAAACUUACGCUAAUACCGCAUACGACCUACGGGUGAAAGAAGGGGAUCUUCGGACCUUGCGCGAUUGAAUGAGCCGAUGUCGGAUUAGCUAGUUGGCGGGGUAAAGGCCCACCAAGGCGACGAUCCGUAGCUGGUCUGAGAGGAUGAUCAGCCACACUGGAACUGAGACACGGUCCAGACUCCUACGGGAGGCAGCAGUGGGGAAUAUUGGACAAUGGGCGCAAGCCUGAUCCAGCCAUACCGCGUGGGUGAAGAAGGCCUUCGGGUUGUAAAGCCCUUUUGUUGGGAAAGAAAAGCAGCAGGUUAAUACCCCGCUGUUCUGACGGUACCCAAAGAAUAAGCACCGGCUAACUUCGUG